This is a non-coding RNA of Dentipellis sp. KUC8613, 83 nucleotides long. The record is from the annotation of a GenBank genome assembly. NCBI's taxonomy places the organism in Eukaryota, Fungi, Basidiomycota, Agaricomycetes, Russulales, Hericiaceae.
GCCCGUUUAGCUCAGUGGUAGAGCGCGCCACUCGUAUAUCGAGGAUCAUGGUGAGGUCGGUUGUUCAAUCCAGCCAAUGGGCA